Non-coding RNA from Betaproteobacteria bacterium, 179 nucleotides. The record is from Rfam. NCBI's taxonomy places the organism in Bacteria, Pseudomonadati, Pseudomonadota, Betaproteobacteria.
CUUCCCCUGCGGUGUUCGUUAAAGGCUUUAGUUUCUAAACCAACAUCGUUGACUGAGGUCGCCGACUCAAGCAGCACCGGUGUGCGCGUCCGACACGGAAGCGCCUAAUGGGCUCGGAAGGCGACCGACCUUGAACCGUUGGUUCAAGAUGCUGGCCUGACGGCACAGGCGGGGGUCCA